Molecule: long non-coding RNA, 761 nt
Organism: Neodiprion virginianus
Lineage: Eukaryota; Metazoa; Arthropoda; Insecta; Hymenoptera; Diprionidae
Exons: 2
Source: RefSeq, a predicted model, not a curated record
AAAAAGCGACUCAAUUCUACGCUGUUCAAACGACCCCCGUCAUUCAUAUAUUUUCUUGUUUGUCUACCGUACUACUUCUCGAUGUUACAUCAUUUGGGUUUCAACUACCUGACGUACACGUAAUUCAAAAUUAUCAAAACAUAUCUAUUCCUCUAUAUUUGCACAAUGAAUUGAUAAAAUUAACGCAUUUUAUCUCCGGGGUUAUCGGUGUAUAAAAACACCAGCAACCGAGCUGAGAUAUUACUUUUGAAAAAGGAGAACUCAGCGAUAGAUCGUUUGAAUUUUCUCAAGUGUCUGGUUACCGUCUAAUAUCAACUUUCGUGAUGAAUUUCAACGUCUUCUUCUGGAUCCUGGUUCUCGUGCUUGGCAUUUCAUCGAUGGUCGAUCCGAUAAACGGACAAGGCCAACGUAGAAGACAAUCCGGACUUCGUUCGGCGGCUCGAACUCGUCGUCCGGGGCAUUUUUCGGGAGUGAGAAUCAGACUGGUUCACUGAAAAUCCAACAUCGAUUCUGUGCGAAAUGCUUGUUAUACGACGAUUACGCGCUACUUUGGCUUGGAUUUAUCGGAGAUGUGGAUUGAGGAAGGGCUUCGCAUCGAUCCUGAAACACUCACAGUCUAUUGUUAUUAAGUCUUUCGUUUAUUUUCCCGUUGUGUGAAUAUCUCGAGAAUGAGAUUUCCGCCCUGUUGCACGUAAUUAUGAUAAUUUAAAAAUGGACAUUCAUACCGAUUGAGGAGUAUUAAAGUUUUCUGUUCAACCAAA